UACGUAGGGUGCAAGCGUUAAUCGGAAUUACUGGGCGUAAAGCGUGCGCAGGCGGUUAUGCAAGACAGAUGUGAAAUCCCCGGGCUCAACCUGGGAACUGCAUUUGUGACUGCAUAGCUAGAGUACGGUAGAGGGGGAUGGAAUUCCGCGUGUAGCAGUGAAAUGCGUAGAUAUGCGGAGGGACACCGAUGGCGAAGGCAAUCCCCUGGACCUGUACUGACGCUCAUGCACGAAAGCGUGGGGAGCAAACAGG
RNAcentral lists this ribosomal RNA (253 nucleotides) under uncultured bacterium. RNAcentral describes it as "partial 16S ribosomal RNA". It matches the Rfam family "Bacterial small subunit ribosomal RNA", at positions 524 to 776 of the family's 1533-position model. The record is from RNAcentral.